GUGGGGGAUAACCUUAAGACUGAAAAUCGCAGUGUCGGUGGUUCGAUUCCGCCCCUGGGCACCA
Molecule: transfer RNA, 64 nt
Filed under: Xanthobacter flavus
Lineage: Bacteria; Pseudomonadati; Pseudomonadota; Alphaproteobacteria; Hyphomicrobiales; Xanthobacteraceae
Description: tRNA-Phe
Source: RNAcentral